GUGGAUGAGGCAUGCAAGUCGAACGAAGUCGCAAGACUUAGUGGCGGAAGGGUUAGUAAUACAUGGGUAACCUGCCGUCUACCUCGGAAUAACAGUUGGAAACGACUGCUAAUACUGGAUGAGGUGGUCAUAAGGAAACUUGAGACCAUCAAAGUGGGGGAUCUUCGGACCUUGCGGUAAAUGAGGGGCCCAUGGGAUAUCAGCUAGUUGGUGAGGUAAUGGCUCACCAAGGCUAAGACGUCUAGGCGGAUUGAGAGAUUGACGUCUGGCGGAUUGAGAGAUUG
Molecule: ribosomal RNA, 284 nt
Filed under: uncultured Chlamydiales bacterium
Lineage: Bacteria; Pseudomonadati; Chlamydiota; Chlamydiia; Chlamydiales
Description: partial 16S ribosomal RNA
Rfam family: Bacterial small subunit ribosomal RNA
Source: RNAcentral